This is a non-coding RNA of Lonchura striata (white-rumped munia), 705 nucleotides long. NCBI's taxonomy places the organism in Eukaryota, Metazoa, Chordata, Aves, Passeriformes, Estrildidae. The record is from RefSeq and is a predicted model, not a curated record.
GGUUUCUACAAGAUAAUUGACUUCUUUGUGAUCCUCUUCAAAUUGGAAGCCGCCUGACUCUAUAUGCUGCAGGGGGAGUGAAGAGGAAGGUGAAGUGGUGCAGUCUCAGACUCUGCUCCCCACCAAAAGAUGCAGCUCCCGAGGCUCCAGUUUGGCCGGUGGACCCACAGAUGUGCAGGAGCGCUGUCUGCCGGGACACACGGCCCCGAAGGAGCCCUGCGGCGGUCCCUGCUCCCGGGGGGCACGCACAGAUGGGCAUCUCCAGCAGCCCGAAUUCCAGCUCCUGGCUCUGCCAGCCCGGUGACGGCAGCACAUUUGCACAAGGAGCCACUGGUUUAUUUUGAUACCAAAUUUCCAGCUACUGAAGGUAAUUGAGACUGCAAACAAAAUCUCACCAUCCACUGAUCUGCCAAAUCAAAUUUUUUCUCCUGAAUUCACACACCUAAUCGCUCCAAGCAGGAUGCUCCUCCAAGGUGGGAAAGCAGCCCUGAAGUGACAGCUCUCCAGCAUUUUGGGGGACUCAGGGUUUGUGAAAAUAAGCACCGGUGAAUGAAGAUGAAAGAGAAAUGUUGCUGGUUUCUUCCCUGGAGAUCGUAUUUCUUACUUGUUGCAUAACUGCUUAUUUUAGCAUCAAUCAGCCAAGUCUUUGUUGUGCAGACAAUUCUGUCCUUUUAAAGGAUUUGUGCAGUAUUGUUUCUUCCAAAA